Cinclus cinclus is the source of this 4139-nucleotide long non-coding RNA. RefSeq lists it as uncharacterized. The record is from RefSeq and is a predicted model, not a curated record. NCBI's taxonomy places the organism in Eukaryota, Metazoa, Chordata, Aves, Passeriformes, Cinclidae. The transcript has 2 exons.
CAUUUAAGUGUAUUUGUUCAUAACAAGUUCCUUAAAAAGAGGAACUACCCUUGUGAGUUUCCCCUAGGUGCUCAAACACUGUCCUGCUCUGAAUCUGAGGGCUGGUGAAGGAUGGACUACAACCUGAGAACUGCAUUUUAUGCAGCUGUGAGCACAGGAGGCAAAACUAACUACACACUUGCUCCAGACUGGUUUAGCAAUGCUGAUGGGAGUGCACACUACUACCAAACUGCUAAACUGAGCUAAACCAUGGGAAGACUGGUGAUUUGUUUUGUCAUGAUAUCUUGUACUUGCCCUUCAGACAUUUCCAAGAAAAGAGCCAUGUCUGGCUCGUGGCCUUUACUAUCUGGUCCUGCCACACGUAUUUAAAAACAAGAUUAUGUGGUAUGUAUGUAGGUGCAGACAGGUGUCAAGGAAGAUACUCAACAGAAUCUAUAUAUCAGUUCUUAUCUUUCAGUUCCAACUGGAAUUAGAUUCUGGGCUACUUCUCCACUUCAACCCUUGCAAUACUGCAGUGAGAAAAGGCUUAAUUAGAGCGAAGACUGGGUGGAAGAAUAAAGGCUCAUUAAUCAAGUGGAUACCUCGAACUUUCAGUGGAAAGGAAUCCUGUCAGCAAUCAUGGAAAACAGAGUAAGAAAAAGAAAAUAUUAUUGAAACACCUCUAUUACUAAGGACAAGCCUGUAAAAACUGUCUAAUCCACAGGUUAAAGUAUUUCUUCUGACCUUGCCAAUUCCUGCAUUUUGUAGUGUUCUAACAGUGUAAAUUAAGAAUAACGUUUAGAAAAUUCAUAUCUUGUUCCUCCCAUUAGAGGGAAAAAUCUCACCAUUUUUUUCAUCUCAGUAUGAGGUGAGAUUGAAUAUUAAAAACAAACAGAAAAACAAAAAAGAAAACUAGCACCAAAUUGCACAUAAAUAUCGUACACAAACUUUGUGCUCAGCCUUUCUUCUAAAGUACAGUUUUUCACAAGAUUCUGCUACUAAUUUACAAAAAGGCUAUCUAGCUAUGUGCUUUUAUUGGCAAUUUGCAGCCUGAAAGAAAAUAUGUAAAUAUAUAUAAACUAUUGAAGAUACUAACUUUAAGUUAAAUAAGUUAUAUUUAUAAUUUGGAGAUAAGCCUUGAAAUUACUAGGAAUUUGGCCAAGCCAGAAGUUCAUCUUUACAACAAGAUUAUGGUUUUAAUGAAAUUUUUAAAAUAUCUGCUCUACAGCCUUUAUAAUAUGAAACAAUUUGGUUUCAACUUGCGUUCAUUUAAAAGUUCCAGAUCUUUGAAGUUUAAAAGAAAAUAUGGCAGUGCUUAAAACAAGCAGUGGGGAAAGCAGAGCUUCUUCCCUUCAUAUCCCACCUGAUACUACAUCUGAACCAGAUUAUUUUCUGCUUAUAAAAGUGGUACUUCUCACAAACGUAUCUCCUUACUAAUUCAGUAGUUCUAAGGAACAAAAAACUCAAAGCAAACACAUUUCUUUAGUUCUAUUCCUUUUAGAUUUUAAUGUAUGAUAGACCUUAAAUUUUCAGCUUCUAUGUCUACUUAAUGUUAUUAUGAAUUAUCAUAUACUUAAAGUCUACUGUCAUGAUUUUCACAAAACCAUUUUCUGCCUGAGAUAACAGAUUUUUCAAGAUAAUGUCACUUAUUAUUCAUACCAUGCUUUCCAUUCCUUAAUACAUACAUCCUUUCUAUUAACUUCCUUUCUAUUAACUUCUGUUUCUUGACGCAGUGUUUGCAAGACACUUUUAUUGAGUAAAACACAGGGUGAAAACUAAGGUUUCUUAACUUUUACUUAUAAGCAUAUUCUGGAGUGCAUUAGGCAUGUCCUGGGGUGUAUCAGGCACAGCAUCUCCAGCUGGGCAAGGGAGGACAUUGUCCCACUCUGCUCUGCACUGGGGUAGCCUUACCUUGAAUACUGGGGGCAAUUUUGGGCACCAUAGUAUAAAAAAGGCAUUAAGCUAUUAGGGAGCUUCAAAUGAGGGCCAGGAGGAUGGUGAAGAGUGUGGAAAAGUCAUGUGAGGAGCAGCUGAGGUCACUGGGUCUGUUGAGCCUGGAGAAGAUGAGACUGAGGAGAAAGCUCAUCACAGUCUGCAAUUUCCCUGUGAGGGGAAGAGGAGGGGCAGAGCUCUUCACUCUCCUGACCAGAGACAGGACCCAAGGAAAUGGCCUGAAGUUGUGUCAGAGGAGGCUUAUGCUGGAUAUAAGGGAAAAAUUCAUCACCCAGAGGGUGGUUGAGCACUGGAACAGGCUCCCCAGGGAAGUGGUCACAGCUCCAAGCCUGACAAGAGCUUGAGAAGUGUUUGGACAAUACUCUCAGCCACGUGGUGUGACUCUUGGGAUGUCCUGCAUAGGGCCAGGAGUUGGUUGAUGAUGAUUCUGAUGAAUGCCUUCCAACUUAACAUAUUCUUUGGUUCCAUGAUAUUGAACAACACUAACAAUCUCUGGAUAAAAUAUACAAACCCAAUUAUAAGUGAGGAAAGGAAUCUGCGAGCAAAAAAAAAAAAAACAAACAAAAAAACCAAAAUAAACCAGUUACAAUUCUUUCUCUUCUUAGAAAAUAAUACUGGAAACAGACAAUUUUAAAUUUUUCUUCUUCCAUAGCUAGAAUAAGCAUUUAGAAGUUUGAUAAACAUUGAACAAAUCACAAAUAGGUCAAGAUGGAAACAUAGUCAAAGUAUUUCCUUCUUAGAGAUAACAGAUGGAAACUUUCAGAUAUGCUUGCAAAUCCUAUUCUGCUUCCUUUCUGCUCUAUUUCAAAGUUAAAAAAAUUACCAGCAAUCUGUUUAUUACCACAGAAAUCAACUGAAACUCUCACUAGUCCUGUUUUCAUGAGAUUUGGCCCAAGACUGCAUAACACCAAGAGUACUUAUUCAAGAUGUGCGAAGUUGGGAACACCUAAUCGUUUCAAUUAAGUUUUACAGUAGACACCAGAAAAGAAGAACAUCUGAAGUUUUGAUGAUAUUAAUUCAAUGACUAAGCUUUGACUGAAUCUCAGAUAUGAACUGGACCAAAUCAGAGCAAGAGAUUAUCUCCCUGGCUCAUUUCCACAUCACAGGAUAACAGUUUUAUUAUUACUGACUUUCAACAUAACCUCUGAAGGAAAAUAAGAUUAUAGAACUACACUGUAGCUUGCCUGUCAAUUCUCUGUCCCCUUUUUUCCUUAUUUUUUUCUCUCUCAAAUCCAGUAGCAAAGUUCAACUGAAUUUGGUGGAAAGGAAUAAGCCUAAAAACAGUAAAAUCCUGAGAAGUUUUGUGAAAAAUAGGAGGUGAGGUAGCAGUGAUUUGCACAAAACAAUGCUCAUGUUGUGGGGAAGAAAGCAAGUACAUAAACUUUAUACAUUCUGUUGUUAGCAGAUGGAAGAUCACAUAAGCAUCGUCCAUACUGGUAACAAGUUAGGAGUGUCUUGCUCUUAAUUGCUCACAAUGCAUGCUAUUUUUAAUAUUCUCUGAGCCAGGAAUAAAUGCUUUAAAUAUUGAGAUAAUGCACAAAAGAAUGGAAGAGAAGAGGAUAACAGGAUAACAAACAGAGAUCUUUCCAAAACUGGGCUUCAUCUGCUCCUCCAGUCAUGAAAUUCUUGUGUUGUAACAGGUUGGUGGAAUUCUUCUAAAAUACCAGAAGUUGGAGGGCAUUUACUGCUAUAGAAGAAUAAACUUUAAGUAAAAUGAAGCAGAACUUGUAAUGCAUUUAGGAUUUUGUUGUACUUAGCUGCAUAGUCUGAAAAGGCCUACAGAAGGGAAAUUUACUAUGGCUUGGAAGAGCUGAAAAAUUGGAAGCCACAGCAAUGAAGAUGCAUAAAGAAUUAUGUCAUACUUACUGUAAGAACAGCAGCAAUUUUCUUGGCCACUGCUGGACUAAUCUGGAAAGCAUGAGCAAAUCUCCAUCCUUGAAGGUCAAAGAUGGCCUUGACUCCAUUUCGCUGAGUCUCGAUCUCCCUUACAAUGAGUUCAGAUGUGAUGAGACUUACACGAAACACAUCAUAUGCUGUAAAUAAACUGGGAUCCCAUUGUCCUGAAGAGAAGAUAGAUUACCCUGCAUUACCAUGGGAAACCCCAUACGCAUGCACUUUUUCUUCCUACAGCUUCUAAUGUGCUUCUCAGGAACAAGAGUUGAACAGCAAGAACAAAGUUCCUGAAAUAAACUGUUUUGUCUGAGUUA